Molecule: ribosomal RNA, 1907 nt
Filed under: Salmonella enterica subsp. enterica serovar Havana
Lineage: Bacteria; Pseudomonadati; Pseudomonadota; Gammaproteobacteria; Enterobacterales; Enterobacteriaceae
Description: partial 23S ribosomal RNA
Rfam family: Bacterial large subunit ribosomal RNA
Source: RNAcentral
GGGUUGUGAGGUUAAGCGACUAAGCGUACACGGUGGAUGCCCUGGCAGUCAGAGGCGAUGAAGGACGUGCUAAUCUGCGAUAAGCGCCGGUAAGGUGAUAUGAACCGUUAUAACCGGCGAUUUCCGAAUGGGGAAACCCAGUGUGAUUCGUCACACUAUCAUUAACUGAAUCCAUAGGUUAAUGAGGCGAACCGGGGGAACUGAAACAUCUAAGUACCCCGAGGAAAAGAAAUCAACCGAGAUUCCCCCAGUAGCGGCGAGCGAACGGGGAGGAGCCCAGAGCCUGAAUCAGCAUGUGUGUUAGUGGAAGCGUCUGGAAAGGCGCGCGAUACAGGGUGACAGCCCCGUACACAAAAGCGCAUGUGCUGUGAGCUCGAUGAGUAGGGCGGGACACGUGGUAUCCUGUCUGAAUAUGGGGGGACCAUCCUCCAAGGCUAAAUACUCCUGACUGACCGAUAGUGAACCAGUACCGUGAGGGAAAGGCGAAAAGAACCCCGGCGAGGGGAGUGAAAAAGAACCUGAAACCGUGUACGUACAAGCAGUGGGAGCCCCACCACUAAGCCAGUGGUGAACUCCACAUACGCAUCCUUUGCUGAGGAUACGGUUAACGGAGCGAAAGCGACGUUCAACCUCAGAAGAAGCAGAGGGGGCUUAGUGGUGGGGUGACUGCGUACCUUUUGUAUAAUGGGUCAGCGACUUAUAUUCUGUAGCAAGGUUAACCGUAUAGGGGAGCCGUAGGGAAACCGAGUCUUAACCGGGCGUUAAGUUGCAGGGUAUAGACCCGAAACCCGGUGAUCUAGCCAUGGGCAGGUUGAAGGUUGGGUAACACUAACUGGAGGACCGAACCGACUAAUGUUGAAAAAUUAGCGGAUGACCUGUGGCUGGGGGUGAAAGGCCAAUCAAACCGGGAGAUAGCUGGUUCUCCCCGAAAGCUAUUUAGGUAGCGCCUCGUGAAUUCAUCUCCGGGGGUAGAGCACUGUUUCGGCUAGGGGGCCAUCCCGGCUUACCAACCCGAUGCAAACUGCGAAUACCGGAGAAUGUUAUCACGGGAGACACACGGCGGGUGCUAACGUCCGUCGUGAAGAGGGAAACAACCCAGACCGCCAGCUAAGGUCCCAAAGUCAUGGUUAAGUGGGAAACGAUGUGGGAAGGCCCAGACAGCCAGGAUGUUGGCUUAGAAGCAGCCAUCAUUUAAAGAAAGCGUAAUAGCUCACUGGUCGAGUCGGCCUGCGCGGAAGAUGUAACGGGGCUAAACCAUGCACCGAAGCUGCGGCAGCGAACGUAUCACUUAAAGCGAUUCAGCGGGUUACGAUUGACGGAGCGAAGCGACGUCAAAGCGUAUACAAAGUCGAGUCGGUUUAAGGAUACGUUCGUUGGGUAGGGGAGCGUUCUGUAAGCCUGUGAAGGUGGCCUGUGAGGGUUGCUGGAGGUAUCAGAAGUGCGAAUGCUGACAUAAGUAACGAUAAAGCGGGUGAAAAGCCCGCUCGCCGGAAGACCAAGGGUUCCUGUCCAACGUUAAUCGGGGCAGGGUGAGUCGACCCCUAAGGCGAGGCCGAAAGGCGUAGUCGAUGGGAAACGGGUUAAUAUUCCCGUACUUGGUGUUACUGCGAAGGGGGGACGGAGAAGGCUAUGUUGGCCGGGCGACGGUUGUCCCGGUUUAAGCGUGUAGGUGUGUGUUCCAGGUAAAUCCGGUUCACUUUAACACUGAGGCGUGAUGACGAGGCACUACGGUGCUGAAGCAACAAAUGCCCUGCUUCCAGGAAAAGCCUCUAAGCAUCAGGUAACAUCAAAUCGUACCCCAAACCGACACAGGUGGUCAGGUAGAGAAUACCAAGGCGCUUGAGAGAACUCGGGUGAAGGAACUAGGCAAAAUGGUGCCGUAACUUCGGGAGAAGGCACGCUGACAC